Molecule: ribosomal RNA, 751 nt
Filed under: uncultured Actinomyces sp.
Lineage: Bacteria; Bacillati; Actinomycetota; Actinomycetes; Actinomycetales; Actinomycetaceae
Description: bacterial SSU rRNA
Rfam family: Bacterial small subunit ribosomal RNA
Source: RNAcentral
GACGAACGCUGGCGGCGUGCUUAACACAUGCAAGUCGAACGCUGAAGCCUAGCUUGCUGGGUGGAUGAGUGGCGAACGGGUGAGUAACACGUGAGUAACCUGCCCUCUUCUUUGGGAUAACGCCCGGAAACGGGUGCUAAUACUGGAUAUUCACUGAUCUUCGCAUGGGGGUUGGUGGAAAGGUUUUUUCUGGUGGGGGAUGGGCUCGCGGCCUAUCAGCUUGUUGGUGGGGUGAUGGCCUACCAAGGCUUUGACGGGUAGCCGGCCUGAGAGGGUGACCGGUCACAUUGGGACUGAGAUACGGCCCAGACUCCUACGGGAGGCAGCAGUGGGGAAUAUUGCACAAUGGGCGAAAGCCUGAUGCAGCGACGCCGCGUGAGGGAUGGAAGCCUUCGGGUUGUAAACCUCUUUCGCUCAUGGUCAAGCCGCAACUCAAGGUUGUGGUGAGGGUAGUGGGUAAAGAAGCGCCGGCUAACUACGUGCCAGCAGCCGCGGUAAUACGUAGGGCGCGAGCGUUGUCCGGAAUUAUUGGGCGUAAAGGGCUUGUAGGCGGUUGGUCGCGUCUGCCGUGAAAUCCUCUGGCUUAACUGGGGGCGUGCGGUGGGUACGGGCUGACUUGAGUGCGGUAGGGGAGACUGGAACUCCUGGUGUAGCGGUGGAAUGCGCAGAUAUCAGGAAGAACACCGGUGGCGAAGGCGGGUCUCUGGGCCGUUACUGACGCUGAGGAGCGAAAGCGUGGGGAGCGAACAGG